Molecule: ribosomal RNA, 468 nt
Filed under: uncultured bacterium
Lineage: Bacteria
Description: partial 16S ribosomal RNA
Rfam family: Bacterial small subunit ribosomal RNA
Source: RNAcentral
GAUGAACGCUGGCGGCGUGCCUAACACAUGCAAGUCGAACGGAAAGGCCCUGCGCUUGCGGGGUUCUCGAGUGGCGAACGGGUGUGUAACACGCGAGGAUCCCGCCCUUGACUGUGGGGGAACUCCACGAAACACCGGCGAUUAUCGCGUAGGAUCUCUUGCAGCACGGUGGGGAUUGGAGAGUUUCGGCGGUUGGGGAUGGUAUCGCGGCUUAUCAGCUUCUUGGGGAGGUAGGUGCGGACCAAGGCUUCGACGGCUAGCCGGCCUGAGAGGGUGACCGGCCUCCAUGGGCCUGCGAUACGGCCCAGACUCCUACGGGACGCAGCAGUGGGGAAUAUUGCGCAAUGGGGGGACGCCUGAUGCAGCGGCGCCGCGUGCGGGAUGCCGUCCUUCGGGUUGUAAACCGAUUUCGCCUGUGACGAAGCGUGCGUGACGGUAAUGGGUAAAGAAGCACCGGCUAACUACGUG